ACAUGAGGAUAACCCAUGU
RNAcentral lists this unclassified non-coding RNA (19 nucleotides) under Escherichia phage MS2. RNAcentral describes it as "5'-R(*AP*CP*AP*UP*GP*AP*GP*GP*AP*UP *AP*AP*CP*CP*CP*AP*UP*GP*U)-3' from Escherichia phage MS2 (PDB 2C50, chain S)". Lineage: Riboviria; Orthornavirae; Lenarviricota; Leviviricetes; Norzivirales; Fiersviridae. The record is from RNAcentral.